This 144-nucleotide ribosomal RNA is filed under the name uncultured eukaryote. RNAcentral describes it as "partial 18S ribosomal RNA". It matches the Rfam family "Eukaryotic small subunit ribosomal RNA", at positions 1299 to 1458 of the family's 1831-position model. The record is from RNAcentral.
UGGUGGAGCGAUUUGUCUGGUUAAUUCCGAUAACGAACGAGACUCUGGCAUGCUAACUAGUUACGCGACCCCCGAGCGGUCGGCGUCCCCCAACUUCUUAGAGGGACAAGUGGCGUUCAGCCACCCCGAGAUUGAGCAAUAACA